This 450-nucleotide ribosomal RNA is filed under the name uncultured bacterium. RNAcentral's name for it is "bacterial SSU rRNA". It matches the Rfam family "Bacterial small subunit ribosomal RNA", at positions 30 to 473 of the family's 1533-position model. The record is from RNAcentral.
AUUGAACGCUGGCGGCAUGCUUUACACAUGCAAGUCGAACGGCAGCGGGGGCUUCGGCCUGCCGGCGAGUGGCGAACGGGUGAGUAAUGCAUCGGAACGUGCCCAGUCAUGGGGGAUAACUACGCGAAAGCGUAGCUAAUACCGCAUACGCCCUGAGGGGGAAAGUGGGGGAUCUUCGGACCUCACGUGAUUGGAGCGGCCGAUGUCAGAUUAGCUAGUUGGUGAGGUAAAGGCUCACCAAGGCGACGAUCUGUAGCGGGUCUGAGAGGAUGAUCAGCCACACUGGGACUGAGACACGGCCCAGACUCCUACGGGAGGCAGCAGUAGGGAAUUUUCGGCAAUGGGGGAAACCCUGACCGAGCAAUGCCGCGUGAACGAUGAAGGUCUUCGGAUUGUAAAGUUCUGUGAUUGGGGAAGAAUGGUAUUCUUAGGGAAUGAGGAGUACAUGAC